UACGGAGGGUGCAAGCGUUAUCCGGAUUCACUGGGUUUAAAGGGUGCGUAGGCGGGUAUUUAAGUCAGUGGUGAAAUCCUAGAGCUUAACUCUAGAACUGCCAUUGAUACUAUUUAUCUUGAAUAUUGUGGAGGUAAGCGGAAUAUGUCAUGUAGCGGUGAGAUGCUUAGAUAUGACAUAGAACACCUAUUGCGAAGGCAGCUUACUACGCAUAUAUUGACGCUGAGGCACGAAAGCGUGGGGAUCAAACAGGACUAGAUACCCUGGUAGUCCACGCCCUAAACGAUGGAUACUCGACAUACGCGAUACACUGUGUGUGUCUGAGCGAAAGCAUUAAGUAUCCCACCUGGGAAGUACGACCGCAAGGUUGAAACUCAAAGG
This 381-nucleotide ribosomal RNA is filed under the name uncultured bacterium. Its description in RNAcentral is "bacterial SSU rRNA". It matches the Rfam family "Bacterial small subunit ribosomal RNA", at positions 524 to 907 of the family's 1533-position model. The record is from RNAcentral.